UAUCUCUGUAGAGUCUGCAUAUCAAUAAGCGGAGGAAAAGAAACUAACAAGGAUUCCCCUAGUAACGGCGAGUGAAGCGGGAAGAGCUCAAAUUUGAAAUCUUAAAGGGUUUCCCUUUACGAAUUGUAGUUUAAAGAAGUGUUUUCUGUUGAGGUUUUGGUAAAAGUUCUUUGGAAUAGGACAUCAUAGAGGGUGAGAAUCCCGUAUUUGACCUUUACUUUCAACUUUGUGAUACACUUUCAAAGAGUCGGAUUGUUUGGGAAUGCAGUCCCAAAAUGGGUGGUAAAUUUCAUCUAAAGCUAAAUAUUGGCGAGAGACCGAUAGCGAACAAGUACCGUGAGGGAAAGAUGAAAAGAACUUUGAAAAGAGAGUUAAACAGUACGUGAAAUUGUCAAAAGGGAAGCGUUUGACACCAGUGUUGUUUUUCUGAAAAUCAAUUAAAGAACUGUUUAUGCUAAGCUGUUUAGACUUUAUCAGCUACCUGUUUAGUUUUGAGCUUUUCUUUAAUGCACUUUUCAGUUAACAAGUCAACAUCAAUUUCUUUUGCUGUAAAAAAGCUUGAGGAAGGUGGCUUGAGAUUCGUCUUAAGUGUUUAUAGCCUCUUGCCUAUGCAGUCGGAGAGAUUGAGGUCUGCAGCGUAGAUCCUUCGGGGCUAAGUGCAUUUGUGCUAAGUUAUAGCAUUUUAUAGACAACUUGUUGACUAUGAUUUGUCUUGUAGCUUACUCGCUUAUGUUAUUUUACCUACGCUUAGGAUGUUGACGAUCAGCUGAGCGCG
This 775-nucleotide ribosomal RNA is filed under the name uncultured Neocallimastigales. RNAcentral describes it as "partial large subunit ribosomal RNA". It matches the Rfam family "Eukaryotic large subunit ribosomal RNA", at positions 24 to 646 of the family's 3401-position model. Lineage: Eukaryota; Fungi; Neocallimastigomycota; Neocallimastigomycetes; Neocallimastigales. The record is from RNAcentral.